GCAGCGUCACUUCUGGUGACGUCACGGCCUGGAAGCCGGAAGUGAGCUGCGAUGUCCAGGGACGGCGUGGAAAGGGAACAGAGGCUCCUUCCAGGAUCGUCUUCCAGCCCAAUUGCUAACCGGACCCGAGCAAAUGAUUAUGAUAGGGGCCGUAACUAGGAAUGUGCAAGCGGAACCGUGGUACAGAGAUGAUGAUACUGCACUGGUUGCAUUCUGCACCGCAGCCCUGGUAGUCACCGGCUGCUGACCUGAAUGCUCCGCUCCAUGCUAAGAGCCCCAGCACGUUAGCCGGACGGACCGGAGCUGUGUCACUUCCGGGGUGUAGUGAAUACAGGACCGGAAACCGGGCAGCGUGACAGGGAGCAGCAGGGAGGACUCUGUUACACACCAGGUAUUUAAGCACUUUAUGUAAUGUUAGCAUUUAUCCUGACGAAGGGGCUGCGACCCCGAUACGUAGAUCGAUUAUGCUACAAUAAAAGCACCGUUUUCUUCACUUUAACCAAGUCUCCCAGUGCCGCUUUCAUGGAGGAUUUAUGUACGGGAGUAUGCACUCUCGUCUAAGAGGGCACGGGAGCAGCUGUAUCUGACGGAGGGAACACACAGGAGU
Molecule: long non-coding RNA, 607 nt
Organism: Pseudophryne corroboree (corroboree frog)
Lineage: Eukaryota; Metazoa; Chordata; Amphibia; Anura; Myobatrachidae
Exons: 4
Source: RefSeq, a predicted model, not a curated record